Molecule: long non-coding RNA, 1222 nt
Filed under: Mytilus galloprovincialis (Mediterranean mussel)
Lineage: Eukaryota; Metazoa; Mollusca; Bivalvia; Mytilida; Mytilidae
Source: RNAcentral
GCAUGUUUCCGUUUCAUGUGUUAAAUACGGGAUCCAAGAUGUUUUUUUUUCGCUCGUUUAAAUUGAGCCUAUCUAACGUGUUUAACCAGCCAACGUGUUUAACCAACGUGUUUAACCAACAUGUUUAACCAACGUGUUUAACCAACCAACCAACCAACCAACCAACAAUCCAAUCAAUCAAUGCAUGUUUCCGUUUCAUGUGUUAAAUACGGGAUCCAAGAUGGUUUUUUUUUCGCUUGUUUAAAUUGAGCCUAUCUAACGUGUUUAACCAGCCAACGUGUUUAACCAACGUGUUAACCAACGUGUUUAACCAACGUGUUUACCAACCAACCAAACCAACCAACCAACCAACCAAUCAACCAAUCAAUGCAUGUUUCCGUUUCAUGUGUUAAAUACGGGAUCCAAGAUGGUUUUUUUUCGCUUGUUAAAAUUGAGCCUAUCAAACGUGUUUAAACUACGUGUUUAACCAACGUGUUUAACCAAUGUUUAACCAACGUGUUUAACCAACCAACCAACCAAUCAAUCAAUCAAUGCAUGUUUCCGUUUCAUGUGUUAAAUACGGGAUCCAAGAUGGUUUUUUUUCGCUUGUUUAAAUUGAGCCUAUCAAACGUGUUUAACCAGCCAACGUGUUUAACCAACAUGUUUAACCAACGUGUUUAACCAACCAACCAACCAACCAAUCAACCAAUCAAUGCAUGUUUCCGUUUCAUGUGUUAAAUACGGGAUCCAAGAUGUUUUUUUUUUCGCUUGUUUAAAUUGAGCCUUUCAAACGUGUUUAACCAGCCAACGUGUUUAACCAACGUGUUCAACCAACAUGUUUAACCAACGUGUUUAACCAACCAACCAACCAAUCAAUCACUUAAUGUAUGUUUCCGUGUCAUGCGUUUAAUACGGGAUGCAAGGUCUCUUGAGGUUUUUUCCCUUGUUCUAAGUGACCCUAUCAAACGUGUUUAAUCAACCAACCAACAAACCAACCAAUCAAUCAACCAACUAAUCAAUCAAUCAAUAUGUAUGACUGUUUAUUUAUGACAGUAUAUUGAAGGAACAAACUCUCAAUUAUUCAAGAAAAUUUUUAUUUUAUUAUUGUUCUUACGUCUCUUCUGAAAAAAAAUCCACAUAUUCUCUGAAACUACAAGUCCAAUCGACCUGAAAAUUUGCAGUCAGCAGGGCAUACAUGUACUGAAGGUUCAUAAAAAAAACUUUUGCAGAUAUCUCUCAAGAC